UACAGAGGUCCCAAGCGUUGUUCGGAUUCACUGGGCGUAAAGGGUGCGUAGGCGGAUAUUUAAGUCAGGGGUGAAAUCCCGGGGCUCAACCCCGGAACUGCCUUUGAUACUGGGUAUCUGGAGGUCGAGAGAGGCGAGUGGAAUUCCGAGUGUAGAGGUGAAAUUCGUAGAUAUUCGGAGGAACACCAGUGGCGAAGGCGGCUCGCUGGCUCGAUACUGACGCUGAGGUGCGAAAGCGUGGGGAGCAAACAGG
RNAcentral lists this ribosomal RNA (253 nucleotides) under uncultured bacterium. Its description in RNAcentral is "partial 16S ribosomal RNA". It matches the Rfam family "Bacterial small subunit ribosomal RNA", at positions 524 to 776 of the family's 1533-position model. The record is from RNAcentral.